GAGGAGUGGCGGACGGGUGAGUAACACGUGGGUAACCUACCCAUCAGAGGGGGAUAACACUUGGAAACAGGUGCUAAUACCGCAUAACAGUUUAUGCCGCAUGGCAUAAGAGUGAAAGGCGCUUUCGGGUGUCGCUGAUGGAUGGACCCGCGGUACAUUAGCUAGCUGGUGAGGUAACGGCUCACCAAGGCCACGAUGCAUAGCCGACCUGAGAGGGUGAUCGGCCACACUGGGACUGAGACACGGCCCAGACUCCUACGGGAGGCAGCAGUAGGGAAUCUUCGGCAAUGGACGAAAGUCUGACCGAGCAACGCCGCGUGAGUGAAGAAGGUUUUCGGAUCGUAAAACUCUGUUGUUAGAGAAGAACAAGGACGUUAGUAACUGAACGU
This 389-nucleotide ribosomal RNA is filed under the name uncultured bacterium. RNAcentral's name for it is "bacterial SSU rRNA". It matches the Rfam family "Bacterial small subunit ribosomal RNA", at positions 90 to 475 of the family's 1533-position model. The record is from RNAcentral.